Molecule: ribosomal RNA, 283 nt
Filed under: Enterobacterales bacterium
Lineage: Bacteria; Pseudomonadati; Pseudomonadota; Gammaproteobacteria; Enterobacterales
Description: partial 16S ribosomal RNA
Rfam family: Bacterial small subunit ribosomal RNA
Source: RNAcentral
UGGGGAAUAUUGCACAAUGGGCGCAAGCCUGAUGCAGCCAUGCCGCGUGUAUGAAGAAGGCCUUCGGGUUGUAAAGUACUUUCAGCGGGGAGGAAGGCGAUGCGGUUAAUAACCACGUCGAUUGACGUUACCCGCAGAAGAAGCACCGGCUAACUCCGUGCCAGCAGCCGCGGUAAUACGGAGGGUGCAAGCGUUAAUCGGAAUUACUGGGCGUAAAGCGCACGCAGGCGGUCUGUCAAGUCGGAUGUGAAAUCCCCGGGCUCAACCUGGGAACUGCAUCCGA